UGUGUGUUGGAUCAGUGCAGUCGAGCUCAUGCUCUGAUACCACUUGUUGGGACCGGUUUGACUCUGAAACGAUUGCGUAUGACACGUUCGACGUGCGGAAUCCGUGAACGUGAGUGACCGAACACACGAGACGUACUCAAUCUGUGAUUCUGUAGAAAUGUAUGAAAUCGUACAAAGCACCUCGAAUCACCUUUUGCCUUUCUCUCUCUACUUUCUCUCUCUAGCUCCUAUCUCCUUCUAAUGUAGCAAAAUGGCAAAAGUUCCUAAAGCUAACCCUAAUGCUUCUAUUUAUAGGCCAAGGAAUAAGGAGAUUUUCCUUAUUUACAAUUAUGCCACCUUGCCUUUUAGUAACUAGAUAUUACACUAUAAGUCUUUCGUUUCUUCAUUUCUGCUACGGACGGAAUUGACGGAGGCGAUAGACAUAAAUGCACUAACAGGAGCUGGGUAGGUACAAGUUUACACUUAGUUUUAAAUCAAAUAAUCAAGAUAUAAGAAUAUAAUUUCAAAACAGUAAGUUUAUAACUUCUUGGACCUCAAUGUGUUUAGAGAAAGCAAGGAGAAGAAAAGAGAAAGAAAAAGAUAAAACUUGUGAGUAAAAACUCACUGUGAAAUAUCUGGAGUUCACUGUUUGCAACUUGAAUACUUGAGAAAAUGUGAGUGCUUGAUAGAGUUUAAGGUGGAUGGAAUGGAUUUAGAGUGAAAGGGGGCUUGUAUUUAUAAGCUAAAAAUUUGGGUUUAAGCAUUUAAUAAAGUUGGGUGUUAGUUAGCCGUUAAAAUAAAGUGGAAACAGACUGUUAAAAUAUCUUCUGUGGUGUUGCGGUAAACAUGUAUGUGUGCAGACAUGACCAUACGAAGGAGUAGGAGGAGGCAAAUCACAUAGGCCUUUGGCCACAUGUGUUUCGUGUAGAAGAAGGGGGCGAAAGAGAGAGGGGCGAAGGCAUGUCGUGGCACGAAGGCCACUGCCUUUGUGUGGCAUUUAGAUUGGGCGAAGGCCCCUUGGGCUUUUUUGUUUUCUUGAACAAAAAGAGACAAGAAGCAUUUAUAUGCUUUAUAUUAUUAUUAUUAUUAUGAUUAUGUGGCACGAAGGCCACGAAGGUGGCCUUUUGGGCUGUCUUCAUAUGUCUUUGGCCCGACGGUUAUGGGUUAGGUUCGUGUCAAUUUUUCGUAUUUAGCCUGCUUCAAGUAUAUUAUAUCAGAAUGUAACAAUGUAUUUAAUAGUUAUCAAGCACGUAUAAGUUAUGAGUACAAGUACUUCGAGUAUUGGUUGUGUGUAUGCAUUCAAGAUUGAUAACAUAUAACCCAAGUAUUGUAACACACAUAAGUAUGUAUAAAAAUAGUAUUUCAUUAUGAUCAAAGUCUUGGAUACAAGAUUGAAAAUAAAAUACGAACACGGUACGAUUAGAGUUUCCAAAAAUAGAAAAUACGAUCUCGCUUUCUAAAUAAGGAAAGUACAAAAAUGCGAAGCGUUAUACGUAGUUUGGUCUAAACUGACCUGCGUCCAUAGGGGUGACUAGGAUAACGUUUAUUGAGGUGUUAAAUAAUUACAAGCAUAUUAAAAUAUUUAUAGAGACUAUCAUAGGGUUUAGCAAACUUACUGUCCAAUAUAAGCCCGUAUAGGGACCACAAGGCCUAUAAACCAAACAUUUUCCUGUGUAGGAUCUUCAUCUUAGAGCCGAUUGGAUUUGUGUUACGGGUGUGAGAUUGAAAAUAAGAUUUGGUUGUGGUUGUGUUUUGGUACCCAAUCACUUUGAGACGACAUUUUCCUUCGACCAAAACUAUAUUAUUCGUAUUGUAAUAUUGUAUGCAAAGUCAGCUCUUGGGCCGGCCAAUCCAUGUCGUCGCUCGAGGUCCAAAUUUUUAAAGGGCCCGAAAGGUUUUUAUAAGCUUUUAUAUAUAGACUAAAUUUUAUAUUUAAUAUAUGCAUCCGUUUAUUAUUUAAAAAAAGUGUUGAUAGUGGAAUGGAAAAGCCAUCUGAAGAUAAAGCAAAGGUCUUAAGUUCAAGUCUUGGCUCCAUCAUCAAGGUUUUAAUUUUUAAAUCAUUUCCCCUUUAACCACAAUUUUUGGGAACAAUUUUUUUUUAUCGCCCGAGGCCUAAUUUUUUUUAAAGUUCUCGGGGACGGCUCUGAUUGUAUGAAGUCUUUUUGAGUAGUUGUUAUGAUUCAUGCUAGGAUCUUUUUAACAAAGCUAGUUUCAAAAGAGUAUAAACAAUUACAUCCUCUGUAUUUUGUUUUGAUUUAUACUAUACUAGGUUAUAACCCCGUGUAUCACACGAGAUGAAUAAAGAAAAAAUUCAUAUAGUUAGUACCGAAAGAUUACGAAUUAUAAAACGACAUUUUUAGACACUUUUCAAAUAUCGGAAUAAAUUUUGAGUUGUAUAUGAUCAAACCUUGUGGUGUUUAUCAAGUUAUAAAUAUGACGCAUUUAAUCCAUCUAUAAAGUUACAUAUUAUAAAAUAAAAAUAAUCAUAAUUGCACCAUAAUCAUAAUAACAAUCCACAUAAUCAUAGUAAAAUCCAAAACACCAUACAAGAAAACAUGACUGGAACUAAAUGUCAUAUCUAAAUUCAAAGAAACAAAUAGUACGGGACAUUGGUUUUCUAAUAUUUGUUGUUAAUUUUCAUAUGUAACAUUGUGGAUCAAACAACUAUGACACUCACAUAAGUAUGUAUUUGUAUAUACUAACUUUUCAUGUUUUGAAAUUAUAUUUAGUGAUAAAAACUAUAAUUUGAAUAGUUAUCAUUUUAUGAAUGUUAGAGAUACAGAGAUUGCAUAUUCUUAUCAUUUUAUCAUUAUCAAUAUAUAUUGUUAUUGGCUAUAAAUAGUUGGCACUACAUAACUAUAAAACUUAGACAACAAUGCAACUAAAUAAUUAACUAAUUCAUACCUAUAUAAACAAUCUUCUAAACCAAUUUCAAUAGAUCAUGGUUUACCAAUCAUUUUAUUUUUAUUUUUAAGAAACGUUAUAAAUGCAUUCCUUUAACCGAAUAAUGAAAAGACCAUGCAUAAUAGAAAUUAUAGAAGCAUGAAAGGGACUUGAUAAUGCCCUCAACACUGCCCCUGGGCGUUAUAGGGCAUGAGGAGGGACAAAUAUUUCUUGUA
RNAcentral lists this long non-coding RNA (3098 nucleotides) under Helianthus annuus (common sunflower). RNAcentral describes it as "hypothetical non coding rna". Lineage: Eukaryota; Viridiplantae; Streptophyta; Magnoliopsida; Asterales; Asteraceae. The record is from RNAcentral.